This 77-nucleotide transfer RNA is filed under the name Labrenzia sp. THAF82. RNAcentral's name for it is "tRNA-Arg". It matches the Rfam family "tRNA". Rfam says of the family: Transfer RNA (tRNA) molecules are approximately 80 nucleotides in length. Their secondary structure includes four short double-helical elements and three loops (D, anti-codon, and T loops). Further hydrogen bonds mediate the characteristic L-shaped molecular structure. tRNAs have two regions of fundamental functional importance: the anti-codon, which is responsible for specific mRNA codon recognition, and the 3' end, to which the tRNAs corresponding amino acid is attached (by aminoacyl-tRNA synthetases). tRNAs cope with the degeneracy of the genetic code in two manners: having more than one tRNA (with a specific anti-codon) for a particular amino acid; and 'wobble' base-pairing, i.e. permitting non-standard base-pairing at the 3rd anti-codon position. The record is from RNAcentral. Lineage: Bacteria; Pseudomonadati; Pseudomonadota; Alphaproteobacteria; Hyphomicrobiales; Stappiaceae.
GGCCCCGUAGCUCAGCUGGAGAGAGCACUCACCUUCUAAGCGAAUGGCCACAGGUUCGAAUCCUGUCGGGGUCGCCA